AUACGUAGGUGACAAGCGUUAUCCGGAUUUACUGGGCGUAAAGGGCGUGUAGGCGGUCUUGCAAGUCAGAAGUGAAAUUCCUGAGCUCAACUCGGGCGCUGCUUCUGAAACUGCAGGACUUGAGUGCUGGAGGGGAUAGCGGAAUUCCUAGUGGAGCGGUAAAAUGCGCAGAUAUUAGGAAGAACACCGGUGGCGAAGGCGGCUAACUGGACAGUAACUGACGCUGAGGCGCGAAAGCGUGGGGAGCAAACAGGAUUAGAUACCCUGGUAGUCCACGCUGUAAACGAUGAAUACUAGGUGUAGGGGGUAUCGACCCCUCCUGUGCCGCAGUUAACACAAUAAGUAUUCCACCUGGGGAGUACGGCCGCAAGGUUGAAACUCAAAUGAAUUGACGGGG
RNAcentral lists this ribosomal RNA (397 nucleotides) under uncultured bacterium. RNAcentral's name for it is "partial 16S ribosomal RNA". It matches the Rfam family "Bacterial small subunit ribosomal RNA", at positions 523 to 918 of the family's 1533-position model. The record is from RNAcentral.